GACGAACGCUGGCGGCGUGCUUAACACAUGCAAGUCGAACGGAAACGCCCUGCUUUUUUGCGCUGCUCGGGUGGCGAACGGGUGAGUAACACGUGAGUAACCUGCCCUUGACUUUGGUGUAACUUCAGGAAACUGAGGCUAAUCCCAGAUAGGAGCUCCUGCUUCAUGGUGGGGGUUGGAUAGUUUCGGCGGUUGGGGAUGGACUGGCGGCUUAUCAGCUUGUUGGUGGGGUAGUGGCUUACCAAGGCUUUGACGGGUAGGCGGCCUGGGAGGUUGACCGGCAACAAUGGGCCUGAGAUACGGCCCAGACUCCAACGGUAGGCAGCAGUGGGGAAGAUUACACAAUGGUCGGAAGCCUGAUGCAGCAACGCCGCGUGCGGGAAGACGGCCUGCGGGUUGUAAACCGCAGCCGCUUGUGACGAAGCGUGAGUGACGGUAACGGGAAAAGAAGCACCGGCUAACUACGUG
This 468-nucleotide ribosomal RNA is filed under the name uncultured bacterium. RNAcentral describes it as "partial 16S ribosomal RNA". It matches the Rfam family "Bacterial small subunit ribosomal RNA", at positions 28 to 507 of the family's 1533-position model. The record is from RNAcentral.